AUUAGGUCACAAAGGCAGAGCCCUCAUGAAUGGGAUUAGUGCCUUUCUAAGAGAGCCCCUUGCCCCUUCUGUCAUGUGAGAUUACAGAGAAAAGGUGGCUGUCUGGGGAGCAGGCCCUCAGCAGAUGCAGAAAUGUGCCAGCACCGUGAUCUUGGACUUCCCAGCCUCCAGAACUAGGUGGCCUUUCUCAUGAUUUCUACAGCUUUCGAGUGUGGCAAGCAAUGUCCUGGUUUGCUUAUGUUUGUUCAAUGUUUAAAACCCAUCCCUCAGCCCUAAGAAAAGUGUAAAAGAAGGAUUCGUCCUCCCUUCCUUUGGAUGGCAACACUGCUUUCCUGAGCCUGAGCCCUGAAGGGGUCUUCGAAAAUGUGAUCCGUUGAGUGAGGAGUUCCAGCGGAACGUAGAUUCGCUUCGCAAGGAAGAAAGUUCCACUCGGCUCCCGAUGAAUUUAAUCUCUCAAUUUUCCUCCGUUGCUUGGACGUGCUAGAAUGAAACUCAGAUGAGAUGCUGUGAUAAAGAUCCUUCUUCGUUAGUCUCUCUCACAGCUGGGCUUCAUUUAUGUGCCCAUAAACCAGCUCAUCUUUGCAACACAGGAGCGACUCUGAGCUGGGAAACUGAGCUAAACCAAAAAACAGCAAGGUGGUGUUUUAUUCCAGAAGAAAGUUGUUUCUUUUUAAGUCGAGGCCAGCAAGCAUUGAUAACAAUUCCUGUGGAAGGUUUCAUCUCCCUCCUGAGGCAUUGCGAAGGUAGGAGUUGCAAAUGUUGGGAGCUGUAAUGCAAUUUCACUCAGCACUUGUUUACAUGUAUCAUUUUUAAAAGUAUGGGGCUCUGUCCUCCACAUCAUCUUCUUGAAUAACCUCACCACAUCUCUGAAGAACACGUAUAAAUCAAUUACCUUCCAAGUGGCCUGCCUCUGCAGAGGUGAGCCAUAUUCAUGAAAACAGUUUUCAUGGACUAAAAGCCUUUCUCUAUGAUGUGCCAGGAAAUAAUGCCACACUAUUGCCAGGAGAGGCUUCCAGAAACCAACAGCACCUGCGUCACAUUAAAAACUUUUGAGCCCAAGAAUUAGGUUGAGGCUUGUUUAAAGCCCAUUUUCUGUAUUAUGGCUCAAGGGGGAUUAUUUUGGUAACCUGAACUGCUCAAAUUUUCCUGCUUCAUCAAGAUUCUCAGAUUGCUUUGGAAGUAUGUGAAGUUUGUGAAAACGCAAAUUUCACUUGCAUUUAGACCUUUGCCUGAGAACUUUCCCCCCUGAAAUUCUGCGAUUCCAUGAGAAAUUCCAUAAUUACUAUCCGUGUAUAACCCAGGGUCUAGAAGUGCUUCAAUUCUAGGCUUUAUGUGGAAUCAACGGUCCAGAGAAGGACCUCAUGAGGGGGGUGAGUAAAUGGUGGCAGACACUGUUGGCUGCCUACCCAAGAGAGAUGGCCCUCUUCCUUCCAUGCUUUGUGUUUUAGGCCCCUCUGAAGAUGCAGAGGAUGGAUCUUCGUUAGAUUAAGCCAAUCGUAUGAUUCUGUCCCAUUUACCAGUGUUUGGUUUAAGGACAAGUAUGUGACCCAGCCGCAACCAGUAAAAUAUGAGGUUUCUCUUGAUACUAAAAAAGGCUCAAGGAAGAGACAUUCUCUCCCAUCCUUGGAUAUUGUUGUAUGAGGAGCAGCCUGGAACUGCUGAAAAUAUUUUGUGACCAUGAAGAGACAAAGAUGAAGAUAAGAUUCAUUUUGCUGAGGAAGGCAGAACAGAAAGACAGAAUGUACCCAGCUCCCUGAUCCGCCUUGUUGAAUCACUAAACAAACCGUCCCCAGUAUUGCCUUAGUCUAGACCUCCUAUUAUGUGAGCUAAUAAAUCCCUUUACUGUUUUAGUUGUUGGUUCUCAAUCUUGUUUGUAUGCCAGCCCAGAUGUCCUUUUAAAAGAGCUUCAGUUGAUUUGAAAGGAUAGCCAGGAUUAAGAAUGAUUGGUUUAAGAUAUUUUGAAUUGAGUCUUCUGUUACUUGCAGCCAAUAACAUUCCAACCAGUGGCCUCAGGCAAUGUGCAUAAGUCUUCAAGAGGAUGGGAUAACGGGUGGAGACACUGUGGGAGUCAGGAGGAAGAGCUUUAACUCCUACCAGAGCAUAGUUAAUUCAGAGGGUUUGGCUCAAAUAUUCGUGCUUUCCAUUUUUGGAACAGGACAAGGCUCCAGCCUUAUUAGUUGGCAAGGGAGAAGCUGUAGCAUUGUGUGGGAAGAUGCUUUAUAAAGAUGCUGAUGCAUUGGCAGACACAUUGAGACCUCAUUCCAGGGAGUACACUCCAGAAGUAACUUUGUGUAGCCUUAAGCUACUGUGACUGAUGAUAAUGGACUGGAUUAUUCACGUGGGCUGAGGGAAAUUAAAGAGUAAGAACCACUACCAAAUUUGUGCCUUGCCUAUAGCAUGUGUGGAAGAUUUAACAGCAUCCAUGAGGUAGGAGCUUCAUUCCUACCUGCAUUUUGUGUCCCUGUGUGUGCUUUUUCUUUUUCUCACUAAUUCCUUAAUCCUGCCUUGCUGUGCUGGUUGUUGACCUUGUCCCUCAGUUCUAAGCCCACCUUUCUGUAUUGUGCUCUGGGAUACUGGGGCUGGGGUUCUGAAAACUCUAUUUUCCGGACUCCCUUGCCAAACUUGUUAGGUUCUACCCAUGGGAGGCGCUAAAUGGAGACUGGAAAGCAGAAGGAGAGGAGAAGAGAAUUUUCCUCUUCCCAGUUUCUAUUAGUGUUCCUAGUAGCAGCAGAAGUUAUGGCUUCAAUAUGUUUCAACACUUCCAGCACCAGCUUCACCAUGCUCCAUUAGAAGUACCAGAAGCAGCCACACUUCCUUAUCCAAUGGGCCAUGUUCUCCAGGCCUUCCAGACAUCUUCUAGGUCAGACCUCCUGCUUAGAGAUCUGAACACCAGCCACAGGGUGCCCUCCUCCUCAGAAACCCAAAUAUCUACUGUGGAAGGGGCACCACGGCAUGCCAACCAGUCUUGUGGAGGGCCCUGCUCUAAGCUCCCAAGUUCUUACAGCACGAUUUUCUCCCUUUUAUUCCUCUGGGGGUUGUCACUACUUCCUUCAGUUACUAAUCUCUAGGUUACCUUGGUAUCCUUUUUAUUCUUCCAGCCUUCCAACACCUUUGUAAACAAUUGCUUGAGUUAAAUCCCCUCUGUUUAAAAUACCUGGUGGGAUGGUUAAUUUUAUGGGUCAACUUGACUGGCCUAAGGGACGCCUAGAUAGCUGGUAAAACAUUAUUUCUGGGUGUAUCUGUGUGGGUGUUUCUGGAAGAGACUAGCAUUUGAUUCAGUAGACUGAGUGAAGAGAUUGUCCCUCACCAGUGUGGGUGGCCAACAUCCAAUCCACUGGGGGCCUGAACGGGACAAAAAGGUGAAGAAAGGGUGAAUUCUUUCUGUCCUCUUGAGCUGGGAUGUCCAUUUUCUCCUGCUCUCAGAUAUCAAAGCUCCUAGUUCUUGGGCCUUUGCACUCCAGGACAUGUAGAGGUGGCCCCUGGUUCUCAGGUCUUUGGACUCAGAAUUACACCACCGGCUUUCCUGGUUCUCCAGAUUGUGGAUGGGACUUCUCAGCCUCCAUAACCACAUGAACUAAUUUCUAUUGAAAUCUCCUUUUAUCUGUCUAUCUAAUUAUCAUCUAUCUACUUAUCUAUCUAUCACCUAUUUUUAUCCUAUUGUUUCUGUUUCUCUGGAGAAUCCUGAUUAAUAUACCUGGUGUGGUUUAUAUUUUCUUUUCUUACUUACUACAUUUUACAUUUACCCAUAAAGUCAUCUAAAAUCAAUUUGCAAACAGAAGGCAGGGUACAACCAGAUAAAUAAGGAAAUAAAAACAAAUGAUGUGACUUCCUGGGAGCUCAAUGCUCCCUUCACACUGUGCAGAACUAGAAAGAAUGAAAGUCAUGGUGACCUGAUUUUCUAAUCAAACAAACUGGAAUGUGGAGUCUGGUUUAUACUUAGCUCUGGUGGGAGAUAAAGCCCUUCCUCCUGAUCACCAUAGUGGCUGCAUCCAUGAUGCCAUCUUCCUCAAGACAGAUACAGAUUGCCUGAGGCCAUUUGCAUUUGUUCGGAUGCUAUUGGCUGCAAGUAACAGAAGACCCAACUGAAAAUAGCUUAAACCAACAGGGAAUAUCUAAAAUUGGUAUCACUCUAGAAAAUCUAGGGCAUAUAGUUGCCACUGGAUCAGGCAUUAGGAAAUGUGGCUCUCCUAACAUUAUAUGUGGCUCUCCUAAUUCAUUGUAUGAAUGUGAGAGUGUACAGACCGAGAGUGACCAAGGGUAGGAGCAACUAAAACCAUGAGAGCAGAUAAUGAGGGUUUGGUGAGAGUGAAUUGAAAGCAGCCCAAUCCUGACAUGAAGGAAAAAGUGGGGAGACCAAGGACACUGGCCCAGUGACGCAACGGUUAAGUUUACACAUUCUGCUUUGGCAGCCUGGGGUUUGCCGGUUCGGAUCCCAGGUGCAGACCUGUAUACCGCUUGUCAAGCCAUGUUGUGGCAGGCGUCCCACACACAAAGCAGAGGAAGAUGGGCACGGAUGUUAGCUCAGGGCCAGUCUUCCUCAGCAAAAAAGGGGAGGAUUGGCAGCAGAUGUUAGCUCAGGGCUAAUCUUCCUCAAAACCAACCAACCAACCAAACAAACAAUAGUGGGGAAACCAAGGAAGCUAGUGGAAAUCUGUAGCAAAAUCCUGCUGAUAAUGGUAUUGAGUACUUUUAAUAAAAAAAAAAGUUGUGUCCAUUAACUCAUAAAAUUUGCUUGAAAUCUGAUACCUUCCAAAAGAAUAGCUGUCUCAGCGUACAGGUUCCAAGUGGACAAAGGAAGAUCCAGGAGAUGAAGUGGAUGUCAGGGACAAGAGCUGCAACUGAGACACCGACCAAGCCCCAGGCUGCUGAACCAUCACGUUCCUGGGAGGAGAAAUUAGAGUUCAAAUCUCAAAUGACUUUUGUAGAGUUGACUUAGAAGCCCUUAGCUGGAGGGCAGGAGGUACGUCUUUGUCAUCUUUGUAUCCCCAGCACCUAUCACAAUGCUUGGCACAGAGAGGAGCCCAAAGAAAGCCUUUUGAAUGAACGGAUCCCUAAUUAGUUUUGUAUGUUAAAUUCAAACCUUUAGUUCAUUGAGCUAAUACCCACCAUGUGCGAGACAGUCUGCAGUUAGAAGUUUGUUCCUCUGAUUAAGCCAUCCUCAAUCCACCCUAAUACUUCUCUCCCUCUGAUUUUCUCCUUAGCACUUACCCUACCUAACUGAUCCCUUAAAGCAUACUAUAUGUUUUACUUACUGGUGGUUAUUGUCUUUCCACUAGAAUGUAAGACCUAUGAAAGUGGGAAUUUUGUCUGUUUUCCUCAUUACUUGUGGCAGCUGUGAUAAUGUCUCUCUCUGAUCUCUGACUACAAGAAGUGUAAGUGACCGAAGGCCCAGCUGCUGUGCUCUGAAAUCCAUCAUGACAUUUGCACCAAGGCCGUGCUUCCUGGGGUGCUCUCAGUCACUGACCAAGUAUGGCAUGGAUGCUAAGGCCAGGCUGUUCCUGGGAGAUGCAGGACUCCUCUGGUGAGUGACUUUGGCUUGAGGACUCAGGAAUGACCUUGCCAAACCCUCUUAGAAUUGCGCUCAGUCUAAGCUGCUUCCACUCAAUCCUCCUUCCUUCCUGCAUUAGGGUUCUCCGGAGAAACAGAGCCAACAGGAUAUGCAUGUGGGUCUAUACAUAUACAUAUGUAUAUACACACACACACAUAUAUAUGCACACACAUGUAUGUAUGUAUAUGUAGGUGUGUAUAUAUAUGGAGAGAGAGAGAGACGAGGAGAGAGAAAAGGAUUGAGAAAGAGAGAUUGGUUUAUUUUAAGGAAUUGGUUCAUGUGAUUAUGGAAGCUUGGUAUGCCCAAAAUCUGCAAGGUAGGCCAAUAGGCUGGAGACCCAGGGAAGAGUUGCAGUUCGAGACCAAAGGCAGGAAUCCCUCUUCCUUGGGUGGACUGUCAGUCUUUUUCUCUUAGGGCCUUCAAACGAUUGGAUGUGAGGCCCACCCACAAUAUGGAGGGUAAUCCACUUUGCUCAAAGUCUACUGAUUUACAUUUAAGUGUUAAUCUUAUUUAAAAACAUAUCUUCACAGAAACAUCUAGAGUAAUGUUUGACCAAAUAUCAGGGUACCGUGACCCAGCCAAAUUGAUUCAUAAAAUUAACCAUCACAAUUUCCUCUCUCUUUCACCCAGGAUCAGACUUGCAUUGAGGUCUGAUGGCUCUCCCAGCCUCCCAUGGGAUCCCUCCCCAUUCUCCCUCACAGGUGUCCUAAUAAAACUUUUGCACAACUAACCUUGAUUUGGCAUCUACUUCUCAAAAGACUCAGACUAACACAUUACUCUGUCUCCAGUAGCUGGCCUAUAGUGCAUGCUCAAUAAAUAUUUGCUAAAUGAAUUAAUGGAUGUGAGAACAAUUUGGCUUUGACACGUGAUACUCCAUGAUUACUGGUGUUGAUUCAUCUGAUGUGGGUGGCAGGAGGCUGUCCCCUUCCUCAUUCUCAUUUCCUUGACUCCUCUUUUGAAAUCUUAAGAUGAAAGAGAAUGAUCUAUCCAGAUGGAAGAAAACCGCACUUUAGUCAAGAGUAUAUGAAUGCAUAUGCUUUUUAACCUAAAAUCUCUAAGCUUUCAAAGAAUCUCUUUUUCUUUGAAAUCUCAUUAUAAGAAUAUGAAUCAGGCUAUUUAUCAAUUGAUCACCUGGCCAUCACCUGAUGAUCACCUGGCCAUGAUGCUGUCCCAAGAGGAAUAGACUGUUGCUAACUGGACCUGCUUGCAUCCCUGACUAGUGGGCAGAGGAAGCGGGAUUAUAAACAUGGGACACUAAUCAGAGGCAGGCCUGCUCUGGGAUGCAAGUUUCAAGAGGAAAAGAACCACAUGUCAUGAACUUCUGGGCACCCUGACCAUUUAUAGAGAAGUCAAAUGAGAUUUAAAUGUACAGAAAGAAUGGCCCCUAACAAGAAGAGAAGUCAGAAGAGAGGCAAAAAGAAACUUAAGGAGCAUUGUGGAAGAGCUGAGGAGGAGUCACUCUUGUCUCCAUCAUAGGUGAGGUUGAUAAGUGUUGGUAAUGAUGUGACGCGAGCCUCACGCACUUUUCACAUUCUUAUGUCAAUGGAUUAAGCCAUGCCCCAGGAUUCUCCUAUUGCUAAGAAGGGUGGCUUCCCUGGAUAUGCCUUCAGGGAGGGAGACCCUGCAAAGUGCAGGUCCUGGGGCAAGUGCUGUGAUUCGCUGGUCCUCCCUUUUUGUCCUCCUCUUGUCCUUUCUGCCAGCAGGAUUCUGACCUCCCAGCAUCUUCGUCUGCUGUUGGUGGAACACCAUCUGCCGCGAAUGUAGCUGUCUCUCCACUAGAUAGUCUUUCACCUUUUGAAGCCUAGACAGGUUUCCAUCCAGCUCAACUCAAAUCAAGCUCUCCAAGUAGUCCCUUUGAAGCCACUGCCACUGGAUGGAGCAGCAGGAGAAAGGACUUGCUGUCCUCUGUCCUCCAGCUGCCCAGGACUUCUGCUGAAGACAGGGCAGAGCUACAACAGCCGGAGUGACUCUGGGAAACCCUCUCUGUACUCCAAGCAAGGAUGGUCCAGACUCCAGUGAGGAUGCCUUGGACAUGUGGGUGGGGCCGUCCUCAUGGGUAUGUGACCUGUGUAGUUGUAUAGAGCCUGUGUUCAGAAGAGACCCAUGCUUGGUCUAAUUCUCUGCUGUUACUGUCUUUAAAUUUUUAAUAAUGUUAUCUUUGAAUCUGUUCUUUGUACAUGAAAUGUGAUGGGACAAUGGAGCAUGCACAUGAACAGAGGAGAUACACGCAAUAUUCCUGUCUCCCACUCUCUGAUGCCUCUUUGCAUAUAGAAUUUGUGAUGUCCCCUGAACACAGAAUUUUGGUGGACUCACGAUGUGUGGGAAUUCAGAGACACUCAAAGUGAGUACAAGGAAGCAUGUUAUGUCUACGAUUGAGUGGGUGGGGGCACUGAGUGCCCCGAGAGGUCAUACCUUCCAGUCAAACCAGAACUUGCUUUGAAUGUAGAAAGAAGGCAAUGACAUUCUAAGAAACGCUAAUGACCAAGGGACUCCAUCCUAUUGUGGUCGGCAGAAUAACAGCCCCCAAAGAUGUCCACACCCCAAUCCUUGGAUCCUGUGAAUACGUUGCCUGACACGGCAAAAGCGACUUUGCAGAUGUGAUUAAGGCUAAGGUCUUAAGAUAGGGAGGUUACCCUGGAUGAUCUGAGUGAGUCCUUAAUCACAUGAGCCCUUAAAAGCAGAGAACUUUCUCCAACUGGAGUUGGAGAGGUGCAGUAGAAGUCAGAGGGAUUCAAAGCGAGAAGGAUUUGACCUACUAUGUCUAGCUUUGAAUAUGGAAGAAUAUGAACCAAGGAAUGCUGGGAACCGAGAAUGACGUAUGGCUGAAGGUAAGCAAGAAAUUGCGGGCCUCAGUCCUAUAAGGACGUAGAACUGAAUUCUUCCAGCUAUCUGAACAGUCUUGGAAGCAGAGCAUCCUCAGAGCCUGGAGAAAGGAACACAGCAUUGCUGACAUCUUUUUUGAGGAAGAUUAGCCCUGAGCUAACUACUGCAAUCCUCUUCUUUUUCCUGAGGAAGCCUGGCCCUGAGCUAACAUCCGUGCCCAUCUUCCUCUACUUUACAUGUGGGAUGCCUACCACAGCAUGGCUUGACAAGUGGUGCCAUGUCCGCACCCGGGAUUCCAACCAGCAAACCCCGGGACUCUGAAGCAGAACGUGUGAACUUAACCACUGCGCCACCGGGCCGGCCGUUUUUUCUUUUUUUUAAAGAUUGGCACCUGAGCAAACAUCUGUUGCCAAUCUUCUUUUUUUUUUUUUUCUCCUUCUUCUUCUUCUCCCCAAAGCCCUCUAGUACAUAGUUGUAGGUCCUUCUGGUUCUGUUACAUGGGACGCUGCCUCUGCAUGGCUUGAUGAGCAGUGCUAGGUCCACGACCAGGAUCGGAACUGGUGAAACCCUGGGCUGCCAAAGCGGAGCACAUUAACUUAGCCACUCAGCCAUGGGGCCAGUCCCCAAACAUCUUGAUUACAGUCUUGUGAGACUCUAAGCAGAGGACCCAGUUGAACCACACUGUACUUGGACUUCUGACAUACAGCCCAUGUUAUAAUAUAUGAGUGUUGUUUUUAGGCACUAAGUUUGUGGUGAUUUGUUAUAGAAGCAAGAGAAAAUAGCCAGUCACUUACAUAGAAAAUGAUGACACAGAAGGAAAGGGAAAGAUGGAGAAAUCCAUGGUUUCUUUUCUGAGUCUUUCCUUACCUGUAAUUAUAAGUAAGCUAAAGGUAGAAAGUGCUGGUAGAAUGUGCACGUAUCAAGAAG
This 9298-nucleotide long non-coding RNA is filed under the name Equus caballus (horse). Its description in RNAcentral is "lncRNA (ENSECAG00000029191.3)". The stretch from base 6386 to 6713 matches the Rfam family "7SK RNA". Lineage: Eukaryota; Metazoa; Chordata; Mammalia; Perissodactyla; Equidae. The record is from RNAcentral.